GAUGAACGCUGGCGGCGUGCCUAAUACAUGCAAGUCGAGCGAACAGACGAGGAGCUUGCUCCUCUGACGUUAGCGGCGGACGGGUGAGUAACACGUGGAUAACCUACCUAUAAGACUGGGAUAACUUCGGGAAACCGGAGCUAAUACCGGAUAAUAUAUUGAACCGCAUGGUUCAAUAGUGAAAGACGGUUUUGCUGUCACUUAUAGAUGGAUCCGCGCCGCAUUAGCUAGUUGGUAAGGUAACGGCUUACCAAGGCAACUAUGCGUAGCCGACCUGAGAGGGUGAUCGGCCACACUGGAACUGAGACACGGUCCAGACUCCUACGGGAGGCAGCAGUAGGGAAUCUUCCGCAAUGGGCGAAAGCUUGACGGAGCAACGCCGCGUGAGUGAUGAAGGUCUUCGGAUCGUAAAACUCUGUUAUUAGGGAAGAACAACUGUGUAAGUAACUAUGCACGUCUUGACGGUACCUAAUCAGAAAGCCCCGGCUAACUACGUG
This 497-nucleotide ribosomal RNA is filed under the name uncultured bacterium. Its description in RNAcentral is "partial 16S ribosomal RNA". It matches the Rfam family "Bacterial small subunit ribosomal RNA", at positions 28 to 507 of the family's 1533-position model. The record is from RNAcentral.